UGUUGCGGUUAAACGUUCGUAGUUGAAUUUGUGUCCCACACGGGUAAUUGGCCCACUUACGGGUUCUUAUUACUUGCCGGCUUGCUGGCUUUAGUGUGCGGACGUUUUACCGGUGAGGGAAACGGUGUAGUUUCGGCUGCAAUACGCCCCUUAUUUAUUUCAUAAACCCGUCUUGGUGCUUUUAAUCGAGUGCCAAUGUGGGCCGGUACUAUUACUUUGAACAAAUUAGAGUGCUUAAAGCAGGCUAAAUUUAAUGAAAGUUAAAACGCCUGAAUAUAUUUUGCAUGGAAUAAUGGAAUAGGACCUCUGUUCUACUUUCAUUGGUUUUUAGACCAAGAGGUAAUGAUUAAUAGAAGCAGUUGGGGGCAUUAGUAUUACGAGGCGAGAGGUGAAAUUCGUAGACCCUCGUAAGACUAACUUAAGCGAAAGCAUUUGCCAAGGAUGUUUUCAUUAAUCAAGAACGAAAGUUAGAGGAUCGAAGGCGAUCAGAUACCGCCCUAGUUCUAACCAUAAACGAUGCCAGCUAGCAAUUGUAUGUAGCUACUAAUUUUGGUUCAUACAGUCGCUUUCCGGGAAACCAAAGCUUUUGGGCUCCGGGGGAAGUAUGGUUGCAAAGCUGAAACUUAA
RNAcentral lists this ribosomal RNA (627 nucleotides) under uncultured eukaryote. RNAcentral's name for it is "SSU rRNA". It matches the Rfam family "Eukaryotic small subunit ribosomal RNA", at positions 611 to 1147 of the family's 1831-position model. The record is from RNAcentral.